RNAcentral lists this small nuclear RNA (285 nucleotides) under Sorex araneus (European shrew). Its description in RNAcentral is "7SK RNA (ENSSARG00000017685.1)". It matches the Rfam family "7SK RNA". Rfam says of the family: 7SK was discovered as an abundant small nuclear RNA in the mid-70s but a possible function has only recently been suggested. Two independent studies have found that 7SK RNA binds the CDK9/cyclin T complex (known as elongation factor P-TEFb). The record is from RNAcentral. Lineage: Eukaryota; Metazoa; Chordata; Mammalia; Eulipotyphla; Soricidae.
UGAUGAGAGGGCGAUGUGGCUGCGACAUCUAUCAUCCCAUUGUUGACUGAUCUGGCUGGCUAGGUGGGUGUCCCCUUCCUCCCUCAUAGCUCCAUGUGCAUCCCUCCCAAAGCUGCACGCUUGGUCGAAGAGGAAGGCCUUCCCCUUCUUUGGAGUGGUCUUCGGUAGAGGGUAUGCGAGUAGCUGUGCUCCCCUGUUAAGAACCUCCAAGCAAGCUCUCAAAAGUCUGUAAGUGUAAAAAAUAACAGAUUUACCUCAUAUGCUAUAGCUUUAAUUAUAAGCAUA